GUAGUAGCAUAGUUUUUCCUGGUUCAGUUUUACUUGAGUGCUGAAACAGUUUUAGAGUAAUAUAGGAAGCAAUGAUGAUAGGUUUUUGCAGUGAUCAUGCAUUUUUUUAAUGGAAGCAGAGUUCAGAAAAUAGUUUUUGUUCUUUUUUUUUUUAAGUAACCAUUCUUUUUUUCUAACAUACUAUACUCUUGAGUGUAUUUGAGCUUUUAACUCAAAGCCUAGUUUUCUGGGAAAAGUGUGAAGUAUGAUCUAUAAUCGUCAAAAGAUGGUUCUAAACUGAGGACCUUGAGCAUUUGAAGUCACAGAGGAUCCUGUAUUCCUUAGCAAGAAAUUAAGAAAAUGUUGGAAACAUCACAGUUGUGCAGGAUCAAUUUGACUUGGAACUCAAUCAGGUUUGAUUCAAUAAUAGCUGUCAAGUGUGCAGGCUGUAAUUGUACUACUGCUCACAGGCAAGAGUUCUGAAGCCAGAUGACAAAAAAGAAACUUUUCACCAUGGUGGUCUCAGAUGAGAAAUGAAGCCUUGGCAAGAAAUCUGACUUCAUUGCGGUCCCAUCAAGCUAUGUCCAAAAACAAGACAGCAGUUUAGAGAUAAAUGCUAUUAAUUCUGAUGUAAAAUUCUUAGUCUUUUGGAAAAUCAAAACAGUACUUUCUGACUCUGCUACUUGACAUCUCAGGAAACAACCUCAGG
Molecule: long non-coding RNA, 688 nt
Filed under: Anser brachyrhynchus (Pink-footed goose)
Lineage: Eukaryota; Metazoa; Chordata; Aves; Anseriformes; Anatidae
Description: lncRNA (ENSABRG00000013683.1)
Source: RNAcentral